UACGUAGGGUGCGAGCGUUGUCCGGAAUUAUUGGGCGUAAAGAGCUCGUAGGCGGUGUGUCACGUCGGCCGUGAAAACCUGGGGCUUAACUCUGGGCGUGCGGUCGAUACGGGCAUCACUAGAGUUCGGCAGGGGAGACUGGAAUUCCUGGUGUAGCGGUGAAAUGCGCAGAUAUCAGGAGGAACACCAAUGGCGAAGGCAGAUCUCUGGGCCGUAACUGACGCUGAGGAGCGAAAGCAUGGGGAGCUAACAGG
Molecule: ribosomal RNA, 254 nt
Filed under: uncultured bacterium
Lineage: Bacteria
Description: partial 16S ribosomal RNA
Rfam family: Bacterial small subunit ribosomal RNA
Source: RNAcentral